CCCAUGCAGCGCUGAGGAGGCGGCAGUGGUGGCUUACGGGCGGCCCGGGGCCUAGUGCAAGUGGCCGGGCUGGCGCGGGCGAAGGGGGCCCCGGCGCCAUGGAGGGGAUGGACGUGGACUUGGACGCCGAGCUGAUGCAGAAGUUCAGCUGCUUGGGCACCACGGACAAGGACGUGCUCAUUGGCGAGUUCCAGCGGCUUCUUGGCUUCCAGCUUAGCCCCGCCGGCUGCGCCUUCUUCCUGGACAUGACGAACUGGAAUUUACAGGCAGCCAUUGGAGCUUACUAUGAUUUUGAGAGCCCAAACAUCAAUGUGCCCUCCAUGUCCUUUGUUGAAGAUGUGACCAUAGGAGAAGGAGAGUCCAUCCCUCCUGAUACUCAGUUUACAAAAACGUGGAGGAUACAAAACACAGGGACAGAAGCAUGGCCUCCGGGUGUUUGUCUUAAGUACGUCGGGGGAGAUCAGUUCGGCCAUGUGAAUAUGGUGAUGGUCCGAUCACUGGAGCCCCAGGAGAUUGCAGAUGUCAGCGUUCAGAUGUGCAGCCCUAGUACUGCAGGAAUGUAUCAAGGCCAGUGGCGAAUGUGCACUGCUACUGGACUCUAUUAUGGAGACAUCAUUUGGGUGAUUCUCAGUGUGGAAGUUGGAGGACUAUUAGGAGUAACGCAGCAGCUGUCAUCAUUUGAAACAGAGUUCAACACGCAACCACAUCGCAAGGUAGAAGGAAACUUUAACCCGUUCGCCUCUCCGCAGAAGAACAGGCAACCAGAUGAAAACAACUUAAAAGACCCUGGGGGUUCCGAGCUAGACACAAUCAGCAAAAACACAUGGGGGCCUGCUCCUGACCAAAUUGAACAAGAUCAGACUGAACUGUCACAAAACUCUGUAAAUCUCUCCCCCAGCAGUCACUCGAACAACUUAUCAGUAGUGACAUACAGUAAGGGUCAGCUGGGCUAAUAGCUCCAAUUCCUGCUUGCCACAAAACAUACAUGAGGUCUGCAGCUCAAGGUAGCAUCGCUGGUUGGAGACACAGAACCAACCUUCAAGCCUAGGUUUUCAUGGUCCUUACCCCUUUGGACAGUCUUAAACAAAAACGGGUAUCGUUGAGAAGAGAAUUUAACAAAGACCGGACUUGGGAGGGAGGGGGAGUUCUUGUGACUUAUAGAAGAUACAGCAUGAACGCCCCUUCUUGGCUCCAUAUCCUUGGAUAAGAAGAAAACAAACUAUAACUUUAAGACUAGUUGUUUCCAGGAGAAAAAACACCUAAACUAAAGUAUGCAUGUGUGAAUGCUGAAUUUCAGGAGUGCUGUUCAGUGCUAUGAGAGAGAAAAAUACACCAAUGUUUUGUUUAGAAGUCAUUGUCACAGUUAAUUAGGUAGCUUAAAAAGAAAUUUUUAAAAAAUUAAAACAGAAAAGCCAUCUCUUUUUGAAAGAAAAAAAUUAUUUUGCCUACAGAGUGGUUGUAGUCUGAGCAAAUGUUUAUUUUUUCGUUUCUUCUUCACAACUUUUCAAAAAGGGACAGCGUGCAUUUUUAUGGAGACAUGCUUGCUAUGGAAUGGAAGCUUGCUUAGCAUUUUCUUGGUUAGUGCAGCUGCUAUUUUUAUACAUCAGGUGUUUUUAAUUUGUAGCUGCAUCAAUACCCAGUUAUGAAUUUUAACAGCAUCCAUUGUUUGCCUUUAAUCUGCUGUUGGUAUCAUUUCUCUGGAUUGGUGUGCAUUAGUCAUCUGCUAGUUCUUUUCUGUAAGUAUAAGUUGAUCAAACCCAGUUUCCCUCUUUGUCGGUGUGUCAAGGAGGUAAAAAAUGCAAAAGGACUGAAAUUAUGCCAGAGGGUUUUCUUAGGCUUUCAACAAGAGCCCACACUCAGAUUUCCAAAACUUGCCCUGAACAAUUAGCAUAUUGAAGUAUUCCUGUAUUCAUUAACGUACAGUAACAAUCUUUGAGACAGUUAUGCAUGUGCCAAGAAUCAAUUUUAUUUCUAAAGCGGUAGAGCACCAGUUUUUAAAUUUCAUGCUACUUCUGGGUGUAAACUUCACAUUUCCCUUUUUAUAUCAGGGUAACUUCUGUUUGAUUAUUUGGCAAUAGAAAUACUAGCUUAGUUGACAGAGUCUAAAUUGCUUUGGACAUAUGGGAGGAAGAACCAUUAGCUGCCUCCUACUGUAGUUCCUUCUGUUCAUUGGCUUUCUUAUUCUCUGAACCUUUGAUGUUCUAGAUUGUGUGUGUGUGUCUGUCUGUCUGUCUGUCUGUCUGUCAAAGGUGCAAAGGCUGUCUGUGUGCAGCCCAUAAAGAAUGAUAGCCAUAUAUAACUGAGACUAGGUUGUCCUUCAUCGGAGAAAGUUGCAGAUUAUGGUCUUUUGGGUGUUGCAUCAGUUCAAGGCUUUGCAAAGGAGAGGAGGAGGGGGGUUCUGUCUAAUUCAGAAACUUGAACUAGGCCAUAGCAGCCGUCUGCCAAAGAUAGAAUAAUAUGCAACACCCCCUUCCUUUCAUCUCACUCUAAAGACCAAACUGCCUACUCUGAGAUAAUUGAGGAAAGUACAUAUGUCCUGAUGGAGGUUGUGCAGAACUUUUAGUAUGGCCCAAAGUAACAUAAAGGGCCUUUUAAACAACCUAUUACAAUUUUUUUCACAGUCCUGUCUUCCACUAGAACAUAUGGUUAGCACCUGCAGAAUUUAAGUGGAUCUUGGCUGGGAUCAUGGGGGUUGUAGGCAUUUAGGUAUUCAAUAUUCUGGAGUCAGCUCAGCAUCUUAUUUGGUGCUCUUUUGGAGAACAUGUACAAUUUCCUGAUCUAAUUUGAAUAAUCUUUCCAUUAAUGUUGCCACGAACACUUGAAGAGGUUAUUUCAAGGAGUUGUUCUUGAGAUGAAAUUAAACAGGAGUCCAUUGGCAUCUUAAUGAUGAACAAUUUAUUCCAGCAUAAUUUUUUGUAAAUCAGGGCUCACUUCAUAAGAUGCAUCUGGUAUAAACUCUGACUGGCAAAAAAUUAUGCUGGAAUGGAUCUUGUUAGUCUUUAUGAUUCCCCUGGACUCCUGUUCAGUUUUGUUGCAACAGACUAAUAUGGCUACACCUCAGGAAUUAUAAUGUUUGAGAUGAGAGAUUAUGGCAGUAAAGGAGUUGGGGAACAUUUUGCUUCUUGACAUUUCUCCUCAGCAUGGCCCUCCAAAUAUAUACAUGCAAUGUAAUGUAUUCAAAUGCAAAUAAGGGUAUAGGAAAUGAUUGUGUAUAGCAGCCUUGAUGAUUGAUUUAAUUUCCCCCCCUGCUCUGGGCAAACAAUUCCGUUGAUGGGCAAGUGAAGUGACUAAGUAGACUGUGUGGGUUUUGGUGUCAUCUCUCUCUCUCUCUGUGUGUGGGGGGUUGCAUCGGAAGUCUUACAGUGAUUACAGCUGGCAGCUACCAGACCAAGUCAGAACUGCUUCAUUUUUCUCUUUGCACCACAUAUUCACACUUGUGCCCCAUCUAAACGGCCAACUGUUUUGGAUUUAUGUAUUCUCUUUAUCUGCUUUGCAUAGGGAAAGCUGGUAUAUACUGCCAAGUACUGUUGUCUUGUGGCAUGCAGGAGUGCCCAUUCUCUGCCAGUCAUCAUGAAUAAUGUUUCCAAGUGCCAGUGACUCUUGUGAAUAGAGAAGUCACUCCAGUAAAGGAAACAAAAGCGAGAGCCAGUGCCCAGGUGGGGUUGUAGUAAGCAGCCAUCCUCUUAAGGCAGUAGUUCUUCAGCUCUUCCAGAGCAUAAGCAUUUCUGUUAUGUUUGAGGAAGAUCUUGGUAUAAAUAGUUGCAAAAGCAUCAUUUUUGUUUGUUGGUGUUGGCUAAGGAGAUAACUCUUUCAGUGAUGACAGUGGGGGAUGUUUAAAGUGCUCACUAUCCUGCCUAUGGUUUCCUUUCCCAAGGAAAUAUUCUUCCUGUGAUACAAGCAUUAUUGCAUACUGAGCCUCUUGGGUUCAAGUUGCCAUUCAUUUGAUGAUUUCAAAGUUUUGAGUUUAAAUUGCUUUAGAACUGCUUUGCUCCUGACACACUUCCUGUACAGAUCUAAUUUCAUAAAAGAUAAAACGGUGCCCAGUUAAGUUUCAAAUUGGUAUGAAUGUUUAAUUUGCCACCAUUACAUGUGGUUGAAAGCUCUGAGUGCUUUCCAGACUCUUGUAAUGGCAGCAAAACAAACAUCCCUCCUGUCUUUAAGCAUCAUAGUGUAUAUGCUUCCUGUCAAAAAUAUUAACAUCUGUAGCAGAAAUAUGAAUGACAUGGCCCUCAGUCCCCUUGACACUUAGCCCACUGCCUAGUCAUAGAGGAAGCUAAGCAUUGCUUGACUCAUGACCUGUUUCCCAAGUCAGGUUCUCGUUCAUGGUUUUAGAAGCUUAGGGGCUGGAUGUAACUCCCCACGCUUCAACCUGCCGCACAUGAGCAAGGGCAGUCAGCUCUGACUUUCUUCCCUAGUGACUAUCUCUAGAAGAAAUAAUGAUGGAUUCCUGAGGGGAAGAAGCAAUUGUUAUAAUUUUAAUAAAGGGAAGUUUUGAAUUUCUUGUUAAUAAUACUUUGUUUGCAGAGUGCGCGCGUGUGUGUGUGUGAGUGUGUGUUUUAAAUGGGAACGUAACUCUAGCCCAAGCUGUUGGGCUAAAAAAAAUGCUGAUAACUUCCGCAUCUGUGAAUGUGACUCCAGCCUGGGAUAGAAAAGCCCCCAGACUUCUCCUUGGGAAACUGGGCUGGCUUUGAGCCCCUCUGGCUGGAAUUAAACUCUAUCCCUGUUUGGGGAUGGAUGUCAAGCUUGCAUUAGCAGGCUGGGCCAUGUUGUUGCCCUAAUUUGGGGCAGGGAAAGGUGACGGGUAUAUCCUGAGGCUUCAGGGAUUUUGGAAUGUGUACUUAUCCACCCACCCCCAGCUGUGGGUGAGUGCAUCCUGAAUCUCUGUAGGUACAAGUGUAGCCAGAGUUCUCUGGGGCUGAGAAAUGCACGCUGUCCUACAUCUGGGUUUUCAUUGUUGUUGUUUUUUUCCUCUUGUGUGAGUGAGUGUUUGAUUCUGCAGCCUGUCUUUAUUCUCUCUGGGGGGAGUGCAUGUGUAGAGCAGGAUGGAGUGUUGCUUCAUUGAGUCUGGGAAGAAUCCUGUAAUAGCACAUUGUGGG
Gekko japonicus is the source of this 5096-nucleotide RNA transcript. It is a transcript of the gene named chromosome unknown open reading frame, human C6orf106, with no coding region annotated. NCBI's taxonomy places the organism in Eukaryota, Metazoa, Chordata, Lepidosauria, Squamata, Gekkonidae. The transcript is spliced from 6 exons. The record is from RefSeq and is a predicted model, not a curated record.